GCGUGGGUGGGGGUGGGAGGCGGGGGAAUGUGGGGGGGGCGUGCGUGGUGCGGGAUCAGUGGGGGGAAAGGGCGCGUAGGCGGCGCGAGAAGGCAGUGGUGAAAGCCGGCGGGUCAACUGCGGGUCGGCCACUGAGACGCUCGUGCUGGAGUGUGGGAGAGGCAGAUGGAAUUCCGGGUGUAGCGGUGGAAUGCGUAGAGAUCCGGAAGAACACCGGUGGCGAAGGCGGUCUGCUGGGCCAAGACUGACGCUGAGGCGCGACAGCGUGGGGAGCAAACAGGAUUAGAUACCCGUGUAGUC
This 300-nucleotide ribosomal RNA is filed under the name uncultured Natronorubrum sp. RNAcentral describes it as "partial 16S ribosomal RNA". The stretch from base 55 to 300 matches the Rfam family "Bacterial small subunit ribosomal RNA", at positions 550 to 795 of the family's 1533-position model. Lineage: Archaea; Methanobacteriati; Methanobacteriota; Halobacteria; Halobacteriales; Natrialbaceae. The record is from RNAcentral.